RNAcentral lists this ribosomal RNA (497 nucleotides) under uncultured bacterium. Its description in RNAcentral is "partial 16S ribosomal RNA". It matches the Rfam family "Bacterial small subunit ribosomal RNA", at positions 28 to 507 of the family's 1533-position model. The record is from RNAcentral.
GAUGAACGCUGGCGGCGUGCCUAAUACAUGCAAGUCGAGCGAACGGACGAGAAGCUCGCUUUUCUGAUGUUAGCGGCGGACGGGUGAGUAACACGUGGAUAACCUACCUAUAAGACUGGGAUAACUUCGGGAAACCGGAGCUAAUACCGGAUAAUAUUUUGAACCGCAUUGUUCAAAAGUGAAAGACGGUCUUGCUGUCACUUAUAGAUGGAUCCGCGCUGCAUUAGCUAGUUGGUAAGGUAACGGCUUACCAAGGCAACGAUGCAUAGCCGACCUGAGAGAGUGAUCGGCCACACUGGAACUGAGACGCGGUCCAGACUCCUACGGGAGGCAGCAGUAGGGAAUCUUCCGCAAUGGGCGAAAGCCUGACGCAGCAGCGCCGCGUGAGUGGUGAAGGUCUUCGGAUCGGAAAGCUCUGUUAUUAGGGAAGAACAUCUGUGUAAGUAACUGUGCACAUCUUGACGGUACCUAAUCAGAAAGCCACGGCUAACUACGUG